RNAcentral lists this ribosomal RNA (253 nucleotides) under uncultured bacterium. RNAcentral describes it as "partial 16S ribosomal RNA". It matches the Rfam family "Bacterial small subunit ribosomal RNA", at positions 524 to 776 of the family's 1533-position model. The record is from RNAcentral.
UACGGGGGGGGCAAGCGUUGUUCGGAAUUACUGGGCGUAAAGGGCUCGUAGGUGGCCAACUAAGUCAGACGUGAAAUCCCUCAGCUUAACUGGGGAACUGCGUCUGAGACUGGCGAGCUUGAGGGCAGGAGAGGAACGCGGAAUUCCAGGUGUAGCGGUGAAAUGCGUAGAUAUCUGGAGGAACACCGGUGGCGAAGGCGGCGUUCUGGACUGCAUCUGACACUGAAAGACGAAAGCCAGGGGAGCAAACGGG